GUACAUCCUCUUUAAUUUCUUAUUCUUCCUCAAUUCACAUAACACUUAUCGCAAUCAUGUCUCAGAACCAAUGAAAAUGACAUGUUGACAUAAAUAAUGAGGAGAUGACCAUUUUCAUAAUAAUGCACAAUUCACGACAAUACAAUCGUGAUAUAACAUCAACAAUGAGUCAAUAAGCCUUUCAAACCAUUAUCAACACAUCACACACCAACAAUUAAUCAUAUUGCCUUUUUUUACUCAUUUUUCAUCAUUAGAAUUAUUCAAUAUGGAAAAUUUAACCCGUCAUCAAAUCCCAUUACACCCAACACAUACCACAAGGAAAUACACGAUCCUAUAUAUUUAACAAGGGUUUAGAAAUUCACUCGCUCAAAUAAUCGAACAAUCACUCUAAGACUUGAGCCUUCCCUUUUCGUUGAGUUUUCAAAUCAAUGCAAUCUAUUCAAGUAGAUAUUCAAAAUAAUAGUUUGAAACUAACAACACCCAUAUUACUGUAUGUUUAGCCUAGAUCCAAAAGUUCACCCAAAUCUAUAAUCAAGUUCCUAAGUUUCAAGCUUAGGGUUAAAUCUUUAUCCCUCCAAUAGACAUAACUCUAAUAGUAAUUCACAUAAUAAAAUACACCUAAUAUUUAAUUACAUAUAUCAAUAUAUUAACAUUUAAAUCAUAAUAUGAUAACUAUAAGAAUAAAAAUUCAAAAUCAUAGCAAAGUUACGCCAACAAUAACUUCCAGAGAUGAAAACAAUUUGCAGGACUCAAGAAAUACACCAAUUUCCCAUCCUAACCUACCAUCUCCAUUCAUUAGCUCAACAAUAUACUAUCCUUAACUCUUAAUCACUGUGUCCUCCACUAUGCCAUAAUUAUCCACAACACUUGUCCCCUAAAUCCUUAAGCUAAUGUUCCAAUCAAAGAAUAAAUUAAUAAUUUGUUAAAGUACUAACCUGGAGAACUAUUCCAAUGGUAGCUAAGGUAAAGAAUAAUAACAACAAAUCCUUAACAAGUAAUAAUUAUCACAUUAAAGCCACCAAACCGACCAACACAUGCGGCAGCCGCAUAUGGCUUCAAAAUUCUUAAUUUUUAAAUUUCUCAUCUUCACUUUAUUAAUAUAAUAAUUAUUAUUAUUGAGUUUCUAUCUAAUUAUAAAGAAAUUACUACAUAGAUAUACCAACACAUAUACAAAGAUGAGAAUUUUAAUUAAAACCUUACCUGAACAAUCUUUGUUAAUUGCUUUAUUCUUUUCCGUUUUAGUUUUGAUAGUGGGACGCCGCACGAACUCGUGCAAACUGCAAAGAGUGAAAGGGAAUGAAAUUUUUUUAUUAAUCCCUAUUUUACUCUAAUUGAUUUUAUUAUUUUACGAAAAUUUCAAAAAACGACUUUCCGGAUCAUUACAUUAUCUACCACAAAAAAUCACGUUCGUCCUCGAACAUAAGGUGAAAGAAAGUACCUGAAGCUUCAAAAAGCUAAGGAUAUGUAGCACGCAUGUCGGACUGCGUCUCCCAGGUCGCCUCUCCAACUGAACGGUUCUUCCACUGCACCUUUACUAAAGCAAUCUCUUUGGUUCUAAGCUUUCGAACCUGCCUAUCUAAUAUAACUAUAGGCUCCUCCUCGAAUGUCAAGUCUGGACCUAACUCCUCUAAAUCGAGUGAAAGUACAUGAGAUUCAUCCGGAAUAUACAUUCGAACAUGGAGACAUGAAAAACAGGAUGAACUGCCGACAAACUAGGUGGCAAGGCUAAUUUAUAUGGCACCUCUCCCACUCGACUCAAAAUCUCAAAAGGUCCAAUGAAUGUAGGGCUAAGUUUUUCCUUCUUCCCGAACCUCAUCACACCCUUCAUGGGCGAUACUCGAAGCCAAACAUGAUCACCCGUCAUAAACUAUAAGGCUCUAACUCUUUGGUUUGCAUAACUCUUCUGUCGACUCUGGGCUGUCAACAAAUUACACUGAAUUAUACGAACUUGCUCCAUAGCAUCUCUAAGCAAGUCUGUAUCCAAAGAGUCCAUCUCCGCCAAAUCAAACCAAUCAAUCGGAGAUCUACACUGUCUGCCAUACAACACCUCAAGUGGGGCCAUCUGAAUACUGGAGUGAUAACUAUUAUUGUAGGCAAACUCUGUUAAGGGCAAAUGUCGAUCCCAUCUAGCACCAAAAUCGAUCACACAAGCUCGAACCAAGUCUUUCAACACCUGAAUCUCCGCUCCGAUUGACCAUUUGUCUUAAGGUGAAAAGUUGUACUCAUAUCUAACUGAGUACCCAAAACAUGUUGUAAUGCUUUCUAAAAAUGGGAAGAAAAUAAUGAACCUCUAUAAGAUAUAAUAGAAAUUUGAACCCCAUGUAGUCGCACAAUCUGACUGAUAUACAGCUCGGCUAACUUCUCCGUCAUAUACUUUACCCAUACCCGAAUAAGGUGGGCAAACUUGGUCAGCCUGUCAACAAUAACCCAAAUGGAUUCAUAACCACCCAUUGUGGUAGGAAAACCCACAACAAAGUCUGUAGUGAUCCGCUCCCACUUCCAAGUAGGAAUAGGCAUCCUCUGAGAUAUAACCCCCGGGCCGUUGGUGCUCACACUUGACCUGUUGGCAAGUCAAACACCUAGAAACAAAGUCUACAAUAUCCCUCUUCAUGCCACACCACCAAUAAUGCUGACUCAGAUCAUGAUACAUCUUCCUUGCUCCCGGAUGGAUGAAUAUCGAGAACAAUGGGCCUCCUCAAGAAUCAAUAUAAUCAACUCGCCCGUCUUGGGCACACAAAUCCUGUCCCCGAUCCUCAAGACACCAUCAGAAUCAAGGACAUCCUCCUUGGUUUCCCCUCUCAAUACUUUGUCUCGAAUGAGACAUAACUUCUCAUCAUCAAAUUUGUGCUCAGGGAUCUUCUCGACUAAAGAAGAUCAAACAUCAAUAAAAACAAUCAUACCAUCACUAUCCUCUGAAAGCUGCAACUGGACAAGACUAUUAGCUAACAUUUGAACAUCUCUAGCGAAAGUCUCUCCUCAAUACUAAGUGGAGCAAGACUCCCCAUGCUAGGAGUCUUCCUACCCAAAGUAUCAGCCACCAUAUUGGCCUUCCCCGGAUGGUAUAGAAUGGUCACAUCAUAGUCCUUCAGCAACUCAAGCCAUCUCCGCUGCCUCAAGUUAAGAUCCCUCUGACUGAAGAUUUAAUGAAGACUCCGAUGAUUAGUGAAGAUCUCACAAUUCACCCCAUACAAAUAAUGGUGUCAUACCUUAAGUACAAAGACCACAACCACCAACUCCAAAUCAUGAGUAGGGUAGUUCUUCUCGUGGGACUUCAAAUGCCUAAAAGCAUAAGCAAUCACUUUCCCUUUCUGCAUCAAUACACCACCUAAUCUGACUCAUGAAGGAUCAGAAUACAUAGUAAAUUCUACACCUUCCUCAAGUAAAGUCAAUACAAGAACCUAAGUUAACAAAAGUAUUGAGCUUUUGAAAACUCUCCUCACACUCAUUGGACCACUAAAAACCCAUACCCUUUCGAGUCAAUCUGGUCAAUGGAGCUGCAAUAGCGGAGAAACUCUGAACAAAUCAUUAGUAAUAUCCUGCCAAUCCCACAAAACUCUGAAUCUCUGUAGGAGAAGUAGGUCGCUUCCAGCCUCUAACGGCCUCAAUCUUGGCCGGAUCAACUCUAAUCCCCUCCUUGGACACCACAUGUCCCAAGAAUGCCAUAUAAUUAAGUCAAAACUCGCACUUUGAGAACUUGGCAUACAAUUUCUCUUCCCUCAACCUCUGAAGUACAAUCGUCAAGUGUUGAACGUGGUCCUCCUCAGUCCUGGAGUAAACCAAAAUAUCAUCAAUGAAGACAAUCACAAAAGAAUCAAGGUAUGGUCGAAACACCCCGUUCAUCAACUCCAUGAAUGUUGCAGGGGCGUUAGUCAACCUAAAGGACAUCACUAGAAACUCGUAAUGCCCAUACCGAAUCUUAAAAGUUGUCUUAGGGAUAUCCGAUGCCCUAAUCUUCAAGUGAUGAUACCAAGACCUCAAAUUAAUCUUAGAGAACAACGAUGCUCCCUAUAGCUGAUCAAAUAAGUCAGCAAUACGCGAAAGAGGAUACUUAUUCUUCACUGUUACCUUGUUCAACUGUCUGUAAUCAAUGUGCAUCCUCAUAGUCCAAUCUUUCCUCUUUACAAACUACACAGGGGCACCCCAAUGUGACACACUAGGGCGAAUAAACCCCUUACUCAACAUAUCCUGCAACUGAUCCUUCAACUCUGUUGGCGCCAUGCGGUAAGGAGGAAUACAGAUGGGCUUAGUUCCCGACUCCAAAUCAAUAGCAAAAUCAAUAUCCCUAUUGAGAGGAACACCUAGAAGAUCAUAAGGGAAUACAUCAAGAAACUCCUGAACCACGGGAAAACAAUCCAUAAGAGGUGGUUCAAUACUAGUGUCCCGAAUGAAGGCUAAGUAAGAAAAACACCCUCUUUCCACCAAUCUCUGAGCACGGAUGAAGGAGAUAACCUAGGAUAAGAACCACUAGCACCCUUCCACUCAACCCUCGCAACACCAGGCAUCGCUAAGGUCACAGUCUUAGCAUUACAAUCAAGAAUAGCAUGAUAAGGAGAAAGCCAAUUCAUACCCAAGAUAACAUCAAAGUCUACCAUCCCUAAGAUGAUUAAGUCUACCCAAGUGUCAUACCCCGCCAAACAAACAAGAAAGGAUUGAUACACUCGAUCCACCACUAAGGGCUUACCAACGGGUGUAGAAACACGAAUAGAUACAUACAUGCUAUCACAUAUCAUAUCAAAUUCAGCAGCAAAAUAGGUAGAUACAUAAGAGAAUGUAGACCCCGAAUCAAAUAAUACAGGUGCAGAUCGAUGACAUACUAGGAUGAUACCUCUAAUAACAGCACCAGAAGUCUCCGCCUCGGGUCUCCCCGGGAAAGUAUAACACUGGCCCUCUCUGCCACCUCCAACCUGGGUGGUACAUGUACCCCACUAGAUUGAGCUGUAGUACCACUACCAGAAGCUAUACUGCCUCUACCUGACUGAACUCUGCCUCGACCUCUACUCUCUAGUAUCGGUAGUAUAGUCUGAAAAGAAGAAUUAGGUUGGGGUCCUCCACAACCCCUCUGGGAAUUACGUUGACGCAUCAGGUGAUCGGGAUCUUCGCAACUAAAUCAAAACCUCAGACUCGGGAAUUGUUGUGCGGAUCCUAAAAACCCGCUAUAAUUGUCUCUCAUUGUAGGUCGCUAAUGUGAACCGUACGAGUCCUGACCUCCGCUAUAAGAACCCUGAAGUACCUGACCACCCUUAGAUGACGGCAUAGAUGCAUGAAUAGGUCCUCGAUGCGAAAAGGAACCACCCCCUCUGUGUGAUCCCUUGCCUCCAGAUAAGGCACCAUGAAACUAACCUGAUGUACGGGGCCCUCUUAGGGUCCCCAAACUCCUCUCUCUCUCUCCGUCAAUUCCACCUCUUUGGCGGCACUCACAAUGGACUGGAAGGAAGUCCCCUCUCAAGAUGCCCUAAACACAGUCGAUCUGAUAGAGAUAGUCAGCCCCUUCGCAAAUCUAUAGAUCCUCUCCUAGUCUGGAAUAAUGGCCAAAGAAUGCCUAGACAACUGGAAAUAACAGGCCUCACACUCUGUAACAGAUAAGCUGCAUGUCUCAGAUUCUCAAACCUCAAACGACUCUCCUCUCUCACGCUCCAAGGGAUGAAGUAGUCAUUAAAGGCACUGGAAAAUAUCUCCCAAGUUACUCUCGGAAAUCCAACUGACAAAGACCCUGAAUAAGUUCUCCACCAUUCUCUCGCUGGCCCAUGAAGUUGGAGGGUAGCAUACAAAACCCCAUGUGACUCAGCUAACCCAAAAACCUCUAGCAACUCUCAGCAUGUAUUUAGAAACGCAUGAGCGUCCUCACUCUUCCCACCCUGAAAUUGAGGUGGGUCCAUCUUCUAAAAUUUCUCAUACAUGUGUUGCUCAUCCUCCGUCAGAAAAACCAACGGUGCAACUUGACCCCCAACUGCCGGGGUAAGAUCAUUCCCAAUCACGGGAUCUACUCGUGGCUGCCCCACUAGAUCCUGAAUAACUGGAGCUUGCUAUUGUUCUUGGGUCUGAGCCCCCACUCUGGUCUGAGAGCCUACGGUGUUCCGAUCGCACCACCACCCUGAGAAAAACUUUCGAGCACAUUCAAAACCAUAAGUAAGGUAUCCUGAAGAAAAGUUGUGGAUGCGGGCUCUUGAGGAACUUGGUCCUCUCUGUCAUUAAUCUGAGGCUCUGGAGAUACCUCUCUAGCAUGGCCCCUCACUCGUGCUGCUCCACGGGCACGACCUCUAGCUCGAGCUCUACCUCUACCCCUAGUUGGGGCCUCAACAACUGUCUCGGGAACUGCCUCCCCUUUACCACCAGUAACAGUAGUUUUAGUCCUCGUCAUCUGUCAAAAGAACAUACGAUAGCUCAGUACUAAAGAAGGUAACCACGUAUGAUGAGAAAGAAUAAACAAAGAGAAAGUUUGCUAAUCGUCUUCAUAGCCUCUCAGAGAUAAGUACAUAUGUCUCUGUAUACGAUCCUCGAGACUCUACGUUGGUUCACCUUGUAUACACGUGAGACCUAUGAACCUGGGGCUCUGAUACCAUUUUGUGACAACCCAAAAAUGGAUGUGAUGGCACUCGUCUUAUCACACCAAGACAAGUCAACUUAAAACCCAACUAUUUCGAUAAAGUGCGAAAAUAAACUAAAAACAAAAGUUUAAUAACAAUUACAAAUGCGGAUAAUAAAUCAACUUAGCUAAAUUCCCAAAACUUGGUUUUCACGUGCACAAGCCUCUAAUGUUAUACAAUGGAAUUGAAAUAAUACGUAAGUCUCAAAUGACGUUGUCUCUCAAGUAGAACAAAAUCAUGAUUAGGAGUAAGAAGGUCCACUGAGAUGAUAAACAGCUACGUCACAAAUCUCCACAGGAAGCCUCACAAAGAAGAGAAUAGAAAGUAUCACGAAGAUCUGAGCUCGUAACCUACAAAAAUUUAGAAGCAAGAGGUGAGUACCAAACCACAUGGCACUCAGCGAGUAAACUUCUAAACACAAGCUAAGGGAAUAGAAUAUUGGUACUCCUUACCACAAUUUCAACCUGCAUAAAACUAGCCUAACCUAACAGUUCACAAUUUUUAUAGCACACAACUCAAUUACAACAUUCCAAAAAUUACAGAUCAACAACACACAAGAUCAAGUUCAUCAAUCACAAAUUUCAUUUAAAGGAACUCACAAGUUAACAAAUAAUAUAGAUAUGUAAUGCAAUGAAAUAGAAUGUCAAGUAUAGUAAUGCAUGUCUUACCUAACGAUACACACCUGCUGUCUCUCGGUCCGGGACCCAUGGGGGACAUAUCUUUCCAUGCAUACAUCGUAGCGCGCAACACGAUCCUCGAUAAUAAAAUCUGUCGUGGCAUGUGAUACGUCCCUCGACAAUAGUAUCUGGCGCGGCGCGCGACACUUCCCUCAAAAUGGUACAUCCUCUUUAAUUUCUUAUUCUUCCUCAAUUCACAUAACUCUUAUCACAACCAUGUUUCAAAACCAAUGCAAAUGACAUGUUCACAAAAUUAGUGAGGAGAUGAAAAUUUUCAUAAUAAUGAGAAUUCACAACAACACAAUCGUGAUACAACAUCAACAAUGAGUCAAUAUGCCUUUCAAACCAUUCUUAACACAUCAUACAUCAACAAUUAAUCACACUGCCUUUUUAUUACUCAUUUUUUAUCAUUAGAAUUAUUCAAUAUGGACAAGUCAAUCCAUCACCAAGUCCCAUUACUCCCCAACACAUACCACAAGGAAAUACACUAUUCUAUACACUUGACAAGGAUUUAGAAAUUCAUUUACCUCAAAUAAUCGAACAAUCACUCCGAGACUUGAGUCCUCCCUCGUUGAGCUUCCAAAUCAAUGCAAUCUAUUCAAGUACAUAUUCACAAUAAGUUUUCGAAACUAACAACACUCAUAUUACUAUAGGUUUAGCCUAGACCCAAAAGUUCACCCAAAUC
RNAcentral lists this long non-coding RNA (7946 nucleotides) under Solanum tuberosum (potato). Its description in RNAcentral is "long non-coding RNA (STUB_LNC005742)". The record is from RNAcentral. Lineage: Eukaryota; Viridiplantae; Streptophyta; Magnoliopsida; Solanales; Solanaceae.